Molecule: long non-coding RNA, 2078 nt
Filed under: Salvia miltiorrhiza (redroot sage)
Lineage: Eukaryota; Viridiplantae; Streptophyta; Magnoliopsida; Lamiales; Lamiaceae
Description: long non-coding RNA (SMIL_LNC008010)
Source: RNAcentral
UGGGGUCAUAAUUAACUACUGUUAACCCUAUAACAUAUGCUUAGUUGUUUGAUAUAUUUUUUGUAAGUUCAUAAGCAUUACAUUAUUUAUGAUUGUAAUCAUUAUUUUUAUGAAGAUUGUAUGUAGGGGUGGUUUUUUCUAGCUUGUACAUUUUUAGACAUAUAUAUCUAUAGUCCAAAUUGUGUGACUUAUUUAGCAGACACUCGGUUUGAGUUAUUUUUCAAAUUUUGCUUCUCAACUAUUUUUCCUAUAAUUUAGCACUAGUCUCUAGAACAGCACCUAGUAAGAAUAUUUGUGAUACUUCAAAUAUUUGAGUAUCCAUAUAAUUAUAAAGAAAAUGGGUUUUAGAUAGUGAUUGAAUCAUAACUGAAAACAGGGAUCAUAGUCCUAAAUUAAUUGUAUGUGUAUAUUAUGAAGGUCAUUGGUUGUGUUUCCAUGUCAGGCUAAAUAUUCGCGUUUCCUGACAUGUGAGGAGCUCCUACAAGUAGUAGAAAGGCAGCCACUUCAUCCCUCCCUCUCCCUCCCCUUACACUUUACUUUGUUAAGUUGGCAGUCAUGACUACAACAGCUCUUUCUAUUUAAUUCUGCAGGGAGCUUGAGGAGCCAUCCGCCGACGACCUCAGUGUCGCCGACUUUAUACAUCUUGAGAAACAAUUUGAGACUGCACUAAUACAGGCCAGAGCAACUAAGGUAACUGAACUUUCAUUCUUAAUAUGAAGUGAUAAUGAGUUAUGCUGCUUACCAGCCAACUGUUUUGUCGUAUCGGCAUGCCUUUGUGUUAAAAGUUAUGCCCAUUUGCAGUCCAAGCAGAUGAUUCCGUUGAUUCUCAAACCUAGGAAGGAGCUCAGGCAAAAUUAUACUACAAGAUGAGAAAUGCUUGUUUGGUCUUCUAAUAAAAAAUAAAAAUAUAUAUAUGCACUAGGAAGGAGCUUGUGUAUAUAUAUAUAUCUCCUGACUGACCACAUAUUAUCAAAUGCAUAAUCUGGAUUGAGUUGAGCGACCUAUUAUACGUACAUAUGUAUCAAUUUUACAAUUUUCUUAUGCUUAACUUCCAUUAAUAGUUGGUAGAUUGAUUCUUAUUUGAUUGCCGAGUUUGUUGCUUAUGCAGACACAAUUGCUUCUGAAGUCUAUAUCAAGCCUCGAGGGAAAGGUAAACAUUUGCAUCUUGUAUUUUUGGUGAAGACUGCUAAGCCAUGAACCAUGCAAAUGAGUUAUAUAUAUUCACAACGGGUUUAAACAUAAGGAGAGGAAUUAAAGAGAUGCUGUGUAUUACAAAAGUGGAAAAGUUAAGGAGUCACCUUAUUUAUACCUUGAUUUUGAACAGGAAAAGCUGUUAGAGGAAGAGAAGAUGUUGUUGAAGGGGAAGGUAUAUUUGUAGACUUGGAUAUACAAUACAACUGAAGUAAUGAUGUUUAGUUAGUAACUCACUGAUUAAGAACAGAUUGGUGGGAGCAAGACGAAAAUACCGGUGAUCGAUCUCAACGCCCUUCCUUCCGAGGAGUGAAUGGCUGAAUACUAGCUCAAGCUCUCAGAAUAAUAAGUGGCAAGAAACACAUUCACAGCUCAGUUUUUACAUUCUGAAAGCCCGAGCAAAUCACACAUUCUCUCACCUUCUUGACGAAACCGGAUGCAUAUAUAUAUUGGUGGUUCAGCAUGGAAAUAAACAAGAAGAAAGCAACAUCCAUGGCAAAAAGAAAAGAGAUGAGACGUGGCGGAAUGUGAUUGGGGAGAAUCCACCUUUCAUCAAAGACUAAUGCGUCUCCACUUGUAUUUGUAUCAUAUUCAUAUAUAUACGCUCAAGAGAGAUGCUGCGAUUUAUUUAAAUCUUAAUUAAUACCUGAAUAAAUACUCGUAUAGACAGUCGACGGUAGGGAAAGUAGAAGAAAGACGUGGUGGAAUGUGAGUGCUACAAUAUUAAUUAGGCUGCCCACUUUGUUUUUUAACAACAUAACUUUAAUGGAAUCGCAUCUACGUCGACGAUACGUUCACUUCUCUGCACCCAUAGCUUAAUCGAAUAGAUUAUAGAGCCAAAUGUGCCACGUCUACACGUCGUCUCCUCCCAAUAAUUCAUAUGCAUG